AUGAUCAAGGAUUUGCCAACAAAGGGGGUUAUUGUCAAUUAUCCUGACACAACAUUGGAGACUGAUGCUAAAGGCAGCUUGGUUCAACAUAACUUCAAGGACAUAAAGCCUGGGAAAGAUGCAGUUAGUCAUGACAAUGCCAGCAACAUUCAUUCAGAUGACCAAAUGAAAACACAUCAUCAGUUAGAAUGCUUCACAGAAGAAGUUACAGCAUCAUCUAACAUCAGUCCCGGACUUGUACAUUCAGACACUGAGGAAGAUAAAGGAAUCACAGACACUGUUCCAAAUGCAGGCCACAGAGAACAGUCGAAGCUUGGGAUGGUUGCUCCAGAGGAAGAGCUCGAUAUGCUUCUUAAUUCACUCGAUGGAACUCACCUUUCCAGCUCCAACUUAGACGAGUCGUUUGGAAGUGGUUCUGCUUUGGUAGGCAUGAAGAUCACCGAGUCAAAUGAGAAAGUCACGUCUAGCAGCACCGCGUCCAAAUCGCGGGCACUUUCUCCUGUUGAUGAUGAUCUAGAUGCCUUGCUUUCAGAGACAUCCUUGUCUGUCCAGAAUGAUGGUUCUGCUGCAUCAAGUUUAUCUUCUCGCCCAACUUUUGACUCCAAAAGCAACAUUGACUUCAGAUAUGCCAAGCAGAUUGAUGUAACAUCUAUCGAUGAUUCGGUGGAUGAUUUGCUUGGAGACACCCCGUUCUGCCUGAGCGACCAGAAAGAAGCUACACCUGUACAGGAGCAACAGAACAUCUCAAAUGCCGACGCGCCUCCACCUUCGGGCUCCUCAAAUGUAUCGGCUGACUUUGAUUCGUGGUUUGACUCGCUGUAG
Molecule: ribosomal RNA, 822 nt
Filed under: Triticum aestivum (bread wheat)
Lineage: Eukaryota; Viridiplantae; Streptophyta; Magnoliopsida; Poales; Poaceae
Description: partial small subunit ribosomal RNA
Source: RNAcentral